GACGAACGCUGGCGGCGUGCUUAACACAUGCAAGUCGAACGGAAAGGCCCUUCGGGGUACUCGAGUGGCGAACGGGUGAGUAACACGUGGGUGAUCUGCCCUGCACUUUGGGAUAAGCCUGGGAAACUGGGUCUAAUACCGAAUAGGACCACGCGCUCCAUGGCGUGUGGUGGAAAGCUUUUGCGGUGUGGGAUGGGCCCGCGGCCUAUCAGCUUGUUGGUGGGGUAAUGGCCUACCAAGGCGACGACGGGUAGCCGGCCUGAGAGGGUGACCGGCCACACUGGGACUGAGAUACGGCCCAGACUCCUACGGGAGGCAGCAGUGGGGAAUAUUGCACAAUGGGCGCAAGCCUGAUGCAGCGACGCCGCGUGAGGGAUGACGGCCUUCGGGUUGUAAACCUCUUUCAAUAGGGACGAAGCGCAAGUGACGGUACCUAUAGAAGAAGCACCGGCCAACUACGUG
This 462-nucleotide ribosomal RNA is filed under the name uncultured bacterium. RNAcentral describes it as "partial 16S ribosomal RNA". It matches the Rfam family "Bacterial small subunit ribosomal RNA", at positions 28 to 507 of the family's 1533-position model. The record is from RNAcentral.